AGAUAGAGUUUGAUCCUGGCUCAGAUUGAACGCUGGCGGCAGGCCUAACACAUGCAAGUCGAGCGGUAGAGAGAAGCUUGCUUCUCUUGAGAGCGGCGGACGGGUGAGUAAUGCCUAGGAAUCUGCCUGGUAGUGGGGGAUAACGUUCGGAAACGGACGCUAAUACCGCAUACGUCCUACGGGAGAAAGCAGGGGACCUUCGGGCCUUGCGCUAUCAGAUGAGCCUAGGUCGGAUUAGCUAGUUGGUGAGGUAAUGGCUCACCAAGGCGACGAUCCGUAACUGGUCUGAGAGGAUGAUCAGUCACACUGGAACUGAGACACGGUCCAGACUCCUACGGGAGGCAGCAGUGGGGAAUAUUGGACAAUGGGCGAAAGCCUGAUCCAGCCAUGCCGCGUGUGUGAAGAAGGUCUUCGGAUUGUAAAGCACUUUAAGUUGGGAGGAAGGGUUGUAGAUUAAUACUCUGCAAUUUUGACGUUACCGACAGAAUAAGCACCGGCUAACUCUGUGCCAGCAGCCGCGGUAAUACAGAGGGUGCAAGCGUUAAUCGGAAUUACUGGGCGUAAAGCGCGCGUAGGUGGUUUGUUAAGUUGGAUGUGAAAUCCCCGGGCUCAACCUGGGAACUGCAUUCAAAACUGACUGACUAGAGUAUGGUAGAGGGUGGUGGAAUUUCCUGUGUAGCGGUGAAAUGCGUAGAUAUAGGAAGGAACACCAGUGGCGAAGGCGACCCCCGGACCUAAUACGACAUUCAGGUGCGAAAGCUGUAGUCCCC
RNAcentral lists this ribosomal RNA (770 nucleotides) under Pseudomonas azotoformans. RNAcentral describes it as "bacterial SSU rRNA". It matches the Rfam family "Bacterial small subunit ribosomal RNA", at positions 1 to 770 of the family's 1533-position model. Lineage: Bacteria; Pseudomonadati; Pseudomonadota; Gammaproteobacteria; Pseudomonadales; Pseudomonadaceae. The record is from RNAcentral.